Molecule: ribosomal RNA, 423 nt
Filed under: uncultured prokaryote
Description: bacterial SSU rRNA
Rfam family: Bacterial small subunit ribosomal RNA
Source: RNAcentral
UAACGAAUAUUCCGCAAUGCGCGAAAGCGUGACGGAGCAAUGCCGCGUGCAGGAUGAAGCAUCUAGGUGUGUAAACUGCUGUCAGGGACUAGGAAUUUUGACCAAUCCCAGAGGAAGAACCGGCUAACUCGGUGCCAGCAGCCGCGGUAAUACCGAGGGUUCAAGCGUUAAUCGGAAUCACUGGGCUUAAAGGGUGCGCAGGCGGAUGGCCAAGUAUCUUGUGAAAUCCCACCGCUCAACGGUGGAAUUGCUCGAUAGACUGGUUGUCUUGAUCUCGACAGGGGCCGUCGGAACUGUAGGUGGAGCGGUGAAAUGCGUAGAUAUCUACAGGAACGCCAAAGGCGAAGGCAGACGGCUGGGUCGACGAUGACGCUCAGGCACGAAAGCGUGGGUAGCGAACGGGAUUAGAUACCCCCGUAGUCC